UACGGAGGGGGGCUAGCGUUGUUCGGAAUUACUGGGCGUAAAGGGCGCGUAGGCGGUGCGAUAAGUCAGGCGUGAAAGGCCCGGGCUCAACCCGGGGACUGCGCUUGAUACUGUUGCGCUGUGAGUCCGGGGAGAGGAUGGCGGAAUUCCCAGUGUAGAGGUGAAAUUCGUAGAUAUUGGGAAGAACACCGGUGGCGAAGGCGGCCAUCUGGACCGGCACUGACGCUGAGGAGCGAAAAGCGUGGGGGAGCGAACAGG
This 258-nucleotide ribosomal RNA is filed under the name uncultured bacterium. RNAcentral's name for it is "partial 16S ribosomal RNA". It matches the Rfam family "Bacterial small subunit ribosomal RNA", at positions 524 to 776 of the family's 1533-position model. The record is from RNAcentral.